RNAcentral lists this ribosomal RNA (498 nucleotides) under uncultured bacterium. RNAcentral describes it as "bacterial SSU rRNA". It matches the Rfam family "Bacterial small subunit ribosomal RNA", at positions 501 to 1000 of the family's 1533-position model. The record is from RNAcentral.
CUACGUGCCAGCAGCCGCGGUAAUACGGAGGGUGCGAGCGUUAAUCGGAAUAACUGGGCGUAAAGGGCACGCAGGCGGCUAUUUAAGUGAGGUGUGAAAUCCCCGGGCUUAACCUGGGAAUUGCAUUUCAUACUGGGUCGCUAGAGUACUUUAGGGAGGGGUAGAAUUCCACGUGUAGCGGUGAAAUGCGUAGAGAUGUGGAGGAAUACCGAAGGCGAAGGCAGCCCCUUGGGAAUGUACUGACGCUCAUGUGCGAAAGCGUGGGGAGCAAACAGGAUUAGAUACCCUGGUAGUCCACGCUGUAAACGAUGUCGAUUUGGGGGUUGAGCUUUAAGUUUGGCGCCCGUAGCUAACGUGAUAAAUCGACCGCCUGGGGAGUACGGCCGCAAGGUUAAAACUCAAAUGAAUUGACGGGGGCCCGCACAAGCGGUGGAGCAUGUGGUUUAAUUCGAUGCAACGCGAAGAACCUUACCUACUCUUGACAUCCAGAGAACAUUC